CUUUUUCUUCUUCCUGGUUCUUUUGCCAUUCACAUAGUUUCUGUGGAUCUACUUCUCUCCUCAUGCUUGGAGUCGGGAAUUUUUUUUCCUUUCAGGGAUUUGUUUGCGCCUAAGAGAGGUGGAUUUUUGGCUGUGGAUGUCUGAAAAGUCUUGGGUCUAGAUGGUGGCCUUUGGGUGAUUCUUCUUCAAUGUCUGAGGCGACGUCCUUUCGCUCGUUAGAAUCGCCAUCGACUUGAUUGAUGUUGUCGACGACUACAUUUCGGAUAAGAAAAGCGAUCUUUUUCUAGGAGGCUUUGUUUUGGAGGAUGGAAGCACUAAAGGAGGCCCAAAAGAUCGAUUGACCUCUGUUUGCACUUGGUGAUGUUAUAUCUGCACUUGUUUCCACAUUCCAUCACUUAUGGUCCAAAGUUUGCUACUCUAAGUACUUGGUUAGGACAAAUAUUCGAGGAGGAGAUCCAGAGAUGCUCAUGUUUGUGCAGAUCCAGUUGUUCAGCAUCUUGGACUAGCCAUCCUUCUAUGGACCAGGUUUCUUCAUGUGAUCAAGAUACAUUGCACUGCUGGUGGAAGAGGUUCUGGGGACUAACUCUUAUAAACGGCAUGCAUAGCAAGAGGUGUGAUCUCUUCAGUGGGAAUUUUCCAUUAGAAAGUCAUUGAUUUUGCUUGCUCGUCACUCUGUUAAUUAGCUUGGGAAUAAACUGGUCAUGCCUUAAUUAUGUGUAAAAAUAUUUCAGGCUAUUUUGCGGUCCUCAGAGUUUCAGCUGAAAUUUAAAACCUUGUUUCAUCUCUCAUUUAAAGAGUUGUUGCAUCU
This is a long non-coding RNA of Morus notabilis, 808 nucleotides long. RefSeq lists it as uncharacterized. NCBI's taxonomy places the organism in Eukaryota, Viridiplantae, Streptophyta, Magnoliopsida, Rosales, Moraceae. The transcript has 5 exons. The record is from RefSeq and is a predicted model, not a curated record.